AAGUUGUGGUGAGGACAGGCUAACACAUAAUCGUUGAAUCUCUCAUAGGCUUCAGCAAAUGUCUCAGUGGGGUACUGCGCAAAUGUUGAAAUCUUGUUCCGCAAAGCU
Panicum virgatum (switchgrass) is the source of this 108-nucleotide small nucleolar RNA. NCBI's taxonomy places the organism in Eukaryota, Viridiplantae, Streptophyta, Magnoliopsida, Poales, Poaceae. The record is from RefSeq and is a predicted model, not a curated record.